CGGAUGUUAGCGGCGGACGGGUGAGUAACACGUGGGUAACCUGCCUGUAAGACUGGGAUAACUCCGGGAAACCGGAGCUAAUACCGGAUAGUUCCUUGAACCGCAUGGUUCAAGGAUGAAAGACGGUUUCGGCUGUCACUUACAGAUGGACCCGCGGCGCAUUAGCUAGUUGGUGGGGUAAUGGCUCACCAAGGCGACGAUGCGUAGCCGACCUGAGAGGGUGAUCGGCCACACUGGGACUGAGACACGGCCCAGACUCCUACGGGAGGCAGCAGUAGGGAAUCUUCCGCAAUGGACGAAAGUCUGACGGAGCAACGCCGCGUGAGUGAUGAAGGUUUUCGGAUCGUAAAGCUCUGUUGUUAGGGAAGAACAAGUGCGAGAGUAACUGCUCGCACCUUGACGGUACCUAACCAGAAAGCCACGGCUAACUACGUGCCAGCAGCCGCGGUAAUACGUAGGUGGCAAGCGUUGUCCGGAAUUAUUGGGCGUAAAGGGCUCGCAGGCGGUUUCUUAAGUCUGAUGUGAAAGCCCCCGGCUCAACCGGGGAGGGUCAUUGGAAACUGGGAAACUUGAGUGCAGAAGAGGAGAGUGGAAUUCCACGUGUAGCGGUGAAAUGCGUAGAGAUGUGGAGGAACACCAGUGGCGAAGGCGACUCUCUGGUCUGUAACUGACGCUGAGGAGCGAAAGCGUGGGGAGCGAACAGGAUUAGAUACCCUGGUAGUCCACGCCGUAAACGAUGAGUGCUAAGUGUUAGGGGGUUUCCGCCCCUUAGUGCUGCAGCUAACGCAUUAAGCACUCCGCCUGGGGAGUACGGUCGCAAGACUGAAACUCAAAGGAAUUGACGGGGGCCCGCACAAGCGGUGGAGCAUGUGGUUUAAUUCGAAGCAACGCGAAGAACCUUACCAGGUCUUGACAUCCUCUGACAACCCUAGAGAUAGGGCUUUCCCUUCGGGGACAGAGUGACAGGUGGUGCAUGGUUGUCGUCAGCUCGUGUCGUGAGAUGUUGGGUUAAGUCCCGCAACGAGCGCAACCCUUGAUCUUAGUUGCCAGCAUUCAGUUGGGCACUCUAAGGUGACUGCCGGUGACAAACCGGAGGAAGGUGGGGAUGACGUCAAAUCAUCAUGCCCCUUAUGACCUGGGCUACACACGUGCUACAAUGGACAGAACAAAGGGCUGCAAGACCGCAAGGUUUAGCCAAUCCCAUAAAUCUGUUCUCAGUUCGGAUCGCAGUCUGCAACUCGACUGCGUGAAGCUGGAAUCGCU
RNAcentral lists this ribosomal RNA (1263 nucleotides) under Bacillus safensis. Its description in RNAcentral is "bacterial SSU rRNA". It matches the Rfam family "Bacterial small subunit ribosomal RNA", at positions 86 to 1336 of the family's 1533-position model. Lineage: Bacteria; Bacillati; Bacillota; Bacilli; Caryophanales; Bacillaceae. The record is from RNAcentral.